GAACACAACAAUAUGUAUGUGCUAAGAAAGCCAAAGCCACCAUGACCACAUGAAUUUCCUCAGUGGGAUCACUUACCUGUUGGAUCACAGACCACACUUGACCUGGAAUUACACUGACAAUUUUGGUAUGGUUGGAGCUACCCCUGUGGUAAAGAUACUUAAGGGAUUACAUUAUACUCUUAAUUUUACUUUUCCUCUAAGUCUCUGGCAAUGAGAUACAUAGCUACUAGAAAGGAAAGGUGAGGAGGAAACUGUCAGCUGAUAGAGCAGCUCAUCACUGAUUUGUUUUAGAGCCUAGAGUGCACUCACCUCAGCCCCUCCUCCUUUUUCCUCCACAAAGGUCCCUCUCCUUCCAGAAAAUUCCUCCUCCCCAAGCCAAGGACUGAUAAGGAAUGAGGCCAGAACAGCUGGUGCCUUGUUGUCUCAAGUGGAUUUUUGACAUGGUUAAGAUUUUUCAGCCUGGGUAACACUCAUUGAGCUUAUUAUGCCCCUCAUAACAAUAAGCCUCUUUAGGUACCUUCUCCCUGUUAAGAGGAGUGGGGUAGGGUGAGGUGGGGAACAUAUAAUAAGAAUCAGGUUCUCUCUCUCUCUGUCUCUAUUUCUCUCUAUCUAUCCCCUCUCCCAUCUUCAAGUUUAAUGUGGCUCAACCUAUGUUAGACAGGGCAUGACUCCAUUCCAGGAGCUAAAUGAAGGAAGCCAUGUGGUACAACUAAAAGGCAAAGAGAAAAGAACAGCUUAUGAUGGGGGAGCUAAGAGACCCCACCCCGGGCAACACUCCUCUGUGUUAUAAACAUCUAUCUGCCAAGGAGCCAUGAUGAAUGGAAGAUGGAGUCAGAAGGUCCAGAUCCAAGUGCUGCUCACUUCAUGGUCCUGGGAAAGCUCCUUCUCCUGUUGGGACCCCAGUUGUCUCCCUCUUAUAAGGUAAAGGGUCAGAGGGUUGGAGCAACUGAUGAGAUCUCAUAAAGACAAAUUCGUACUAAGUCACUCUAGGGUCCUGGGUCGAAUGCUGCUUGUGAGUUGAUGUUUCAGUCUGCCCUUGCCUCUUACUCUAACCAGGGGCUUGUCCUUGAUCCUUGAACCUCUUGCCAAGCCCAGUAGAGGUAAACCUCUGAUAUUACCUUGGGUGUGACCCCAGGCAGGCUUAUUAACAAACAACACUUCCUGUUUCUCCCACAGUGAGAAAGGAGGGGGGAGGCAAGGUCUGAAGAGAGCAGCAGGGGCCACACAGAGCACAGCCCUCGGCAGGGACAGUAAAAGCUCACUCAAGCUGAGUCAGUCCCUGUUUUUUCCUGUAAAAUGAUUCACAUGCUGAGGCAACUGGGCUUGAGAAGUACUAACUCUACUCUGCCUUUCAUGAGCUUCCAAAUGAGUUGGUGAUUUUUGUUUUUGUUUUUCCUAUUUGACUUCUCUUUCCUUGGGAACAUGAUUGCAGUGUUUUCCAUGUCAGGUUAAAACCCCUCCCCCUCCCCCAUUUAAUACCCUGAGGAAGAGGGUGAUCAAAUCAAAGAAACGCUGUGCUGAUACUCUUGAUUUUGAAUCUAUUUACAUGGCUGUUUUAAAUGUUAUUCAGAUUUCUUCAACUUCCUUGUGAUUUUGACUCAAGUAGGUUAAAAUAUAAAUAAACAAAAUUUCCUAACGUAUUAUAUACCAUGUUAUAUAAGAAGUCUGACCUCUUUAGAGAUCAAGCUCUAGGUGUGUGAAUUUUCCAUGUAUCUUAAAAGGUUUUUAACUGUAAACAUCCUAGACUUUUUUCAAUUAUUUUGAAUGGGAAUUCCUUUGGGGAUGUACAUAACAUUUUUCUUCAUAAUAAAACUCAACCUUUCCUUCAUUAUUUAUAGUCAUUCUUAGAUCUUGUAAACACUGCUAGCUACCACUUUGUCCUCUUCUUGUGUUGAAGUGAGGUCAGUUUUAGUUGAGGCCCAUGUUCUUCCAUGUUAUGCUUAAUCUUCAUGCAUAUCCAUAGCCAUAAUAUCCUUUUUAGCCAAGUAACUCAGAAACAGAUGGUUUUAUUAUCUGGAUAAUCUGGGUAGUGAUGACAUUCCCCUGCUAAGACCCUCCAGUAAAUUCUCACUGUAGUUAGAAUAUUAGCUAAAGUCCUUUCGAUGACCAACAGAGCCCCAUGUGGCUAAGCCCCUGCUUUUCUCACCAGCCAAUAUCCCCUUCAUCCACUGUGAUCCACACACAGGCUUCUUCUCUAUUCCUCCCAAGGCCCAAAUUGUCUCUUAUUCUUUGCACUUGCCAUUGCUACUUCCUGAAAGAUUCGUCCCUAAUUUUCAUCUGACUGCCUCCUCCUCCUUAUUUAGAUCUAAGAUCAAAUAUCACUUCCUCAGAGAAGCCAUAAUUGUCUCCUACACCAAGGAGGCUAGAACCAUUUCCUGCUUUAUUUUCAUCCCAUCAGUUAAAGUUAUUGGAUGCUUUAAUUUAUUUUUACUAUUUAUUAGUUGGUAUCAACAUUCAUUCUCUUUCAGGUUUGUUAUGCUCCAUGAGAGAAAGGCAUUUACUUGUUUUGCUCACUGCUAUGUCACAGUUUCCAAAACAGCUGCCAGAACAUAGGAGGCACUCAAUGAAUACUGUUGAAGGAAUAAGUCUUGGCUCAUCUCCAUCUAUCAUGGGGAGUUCUGGCUGCCUUUGUCUUAUUGCACAUUGAGUAAUCAGGACUGAAUUAUCAGUUACAGUGGUAUUCUCAGAUGACUGUUCAAACAAUAAAAAGCUGGUAAUGUCCAAUGCCAUUUGAUCCAAUUUUGAAAAGAGACAAAAAGAGCUAAGAGAAUGUUAAGGACACACUCUAAUUUCUUGGGUAGAUCUUUCCAAACUUUUCCAGCAAGAUAUAACUAAUAACCUGGAAGAGUGAAUAAUAAUACUUAGAGGAAGAUCUAAUCAAGAGUAUGAAGUGCCCCCCAAAGACCGUAUAUCUUUGAAGUCUCACAAUUUCUUUUUUAAAUCCAGAUGACUUUUGCAUUCUAAUCCAUUAGUAUAUAUCUGAGUCUGAUUUAAUAUAAAUGAAAUUUACUCUCAAAUUGGGGGGAAAAAAAGUGCCUCCAAGAUGUGUGUUGUUUACCCUGGAAAACAAACAAUUAUCCUCAAGUAUGUAUGGUCCAAGCUGAAAAUCAUCUGGAAAUUCUCCUGGAGAAGCCCUGAAGAGAGCAUAGCCCCCACUCACCUGCCCCCACCUUCGCCCCAGGGAGGAAGAGCUUUGGAGUAAAUACACCUAAGUGAACCAGGAGUCCUAAGAGGUAUCAUGUUUUGAGAAGGAAAAAAGUCUAGAAAUUCCACCUUUCUGCAUCACUCUUUUUGCAAACGAUUCUUUUAAAUCAUUGUGCAGCUACCUUUCUUAUCAUGUGCUUGGUGAGGUAAGAGGUACAAGUUCCCCUCACUCCUCAGGGGAGAGACCCUAAAGUGACCAUAUAACACAGUUUUCUCAGGACCAUCCUGGUUAUGAUUGUGGUUCUGGCAAUAUUAAUAGUGCUCCUUUUUCAAAUGUACAGUAUACAGUCACUUGAAAGGAUGCCUUCCCUAUUCUUCCCCUCUCUUAAAAGAACAAAAAGGAGUCAUACACAGAAGCUGUAAGUCUUCUUCCAGGCCAAUGUCAGGCCACAAAAGAAAAGGAGUCCUUGUGACUCAGAUCAGUUGUCCAUUUCAUACAUUAAGGGAAUCUCAAAAGCAUUCAGGAUCCAAACGCUGGUUCAUCGUAAUGAAGUGUUUUGUCUGAUGUAUUUGUGCAGUUAGAAAUCUAUUAUCAGGGAGUUCCUAUUGUGGCUCAGUGGUAACAAACCUGACCAGUAUCCAUGAAGAGGCAGGUUUGAUCCCUGGCCUCUCUCAGUGGGUUAAGGAUCUGGCGUUACUGUGAGCUGUGGCAUAGGUCACAGUAGCAGCUCAGAUCCCACAUUGUUGUGGCUGUGACAGAGGAGCAGUUGUAGCUCUGAUUGGACCCCUAGCCUGGGAACUUCCAUAUGCUGCACAUGCAGC
Molecule: long non-coding RNA, 3966 nt
Filed under: Sus scrofa (pig)
Lineage: Eukaryota; Metazoa; Chordata; Mammalia; Artiodactyla; Suidae
Description: lncRNA (ENSSSCG00000053028.1)
Source: RNAcentral